UGCUGCAGCUGGUGUUGUGAAUCAGGCCGACGAGCAGCGAGUCCUAAUACCCGGCUAUUUCACUACACCAGGGUUGCA
Molecule: non-coding RNA, 78 nt
Organism: Ornithorhynchus anatinus (platypus)
Lineage: Eukaryota; Metazoa; Chordata; Mammalia; Monotremata; Ornithorhynchidae
Source: Rfam